RNAcentral lists this ribosomal RNA (129 nucleotides) under Pteropus vampyrus (large flying fox). Lineage: Eukaryota; Metazoa; Chordata; Mammalia; Chiroptera; Pteropodidae. The record is from RNAcentral.
ACAGACACCAAAUCAGAGUCUGCUGGGCGAAUUUACAGUUCUGUAAAAGGAAGAUCACUCGGAAGCUAAGUGGGGUCGGGCCUGGUCAGUACCUGGAUGGGAGAGCACCUAGGAAGACCAGGUGCUGUA